AGCAGCCGCGGUAAUUCCAGCUCCAAUAGCGUAUAUUAAAGUUGCUGCAGUUAAAAAGCUCGUAGUUGAAUUUCGGGACUAAUAUGUCGGUCGUGCCUCGGUACGUACUGGCUUAUUGGUUUCUCCUUUCUGAAGAACCAUGAUGUCAUUUAUUUGGUGUCGUGGGGAAUCAGGACUGUUACUUUGAAAAAAUUAGAGUGUUUAAAGCAGGCUCACGCUUGAAUACAUUAGCAUGGAAUAAUGAAAUAGGACGUUUGAUUCUAUUUUGUUGGUUUCUAGGAUCGACGUAAUGAUUAAUAGGGAUAGUUGGGGGCAUUAGUAUUCAAUUGUCAGAGGUGAAAUUCUUGGAUUUAUUGAAGACUAACUACUGCGAAAGCAUUUGCCAAGGAUGUUUUCAUUAAUCAAGAACGAAAGUUAGGGGAUCGAAGACGAUCAGAUACCGUCGUAGUCUUAACCAUAAACUAUGCCGACUAGGGAUCGGAUGAUGUUAAUUUUUUAAAUGACUCAUUCGGCGCCUUAC
This 520-nucleotide unclassified non-coding RNA is filed under the name uncultured Glomus. Its description in RNAcentral is "SSU rRNA". It matches the Rfam family "Eukaryotic small subunit ribosomal RNA", at positions 569 to 1091 of the family's 1831-position model. The record is from RNAcentral. Lineage: Eukaryota; Fungi; Glomeromycota; Glomeromycetes; Glomerales; Glomeraceae.